RNAcentral lists this ribosomal RNA (440 nucleotides) under uncultured bacterium. RNAcentral's name for it is "partial 16S ribosomal RNA". It matches the Rfam family "Bacterial small subunit ribosomal RNA", at positions 338 to 795 of the family's 1533-position model. The record is from RNAcentral.
CCUACGGGAGGCUGCAGUGGGGAAUAUUGCACAAUGGGGGAAACCCUGAUGCAGCGACGCCGCGUGAGUGAAGAAGUAUUUCGGUACGUAAAGCUCUAUCAGCAGGGAAGAAAAUGACGGUACCUGACUAAGAAGCCCCGGCUAACUACGUGCCAGCAGCCGCGGUAAUACGUAGGGGGCAAGCGUUAUCCGGUUUUACUGGGUGUAAAGGGAGCGUAGACGGCAGCGCAAGUCUGGAGUGAAAUCCCAUGGCUUAACCAUGGAACUGCUUUGGAAACUGUGCAGCUAGAGUGCAGGAGAGGUAAGCAGAAUUCCUAGUGUAGCGGUGAAAUGCGUAGAUAUUAGGAGGAACACCAGUGGCGAAGGCGGCUUACUGGACUGUAACUGACGUUGAGGCUCGAAAGCGUGGGGAGCAAACAGGAUUAGAUACCCGAGUAGUC